GAUCAUGGCUCAGAUUGAACGCUGGCGGCAGGCUUAACACAUGCAAGUCGAACGGUAGCAGGUAAGUACUUGUACUUAUGCUGACGAGUGGCGGACGGGUGAGUAAUGUUUGGGAAUCUAGCUUAUGGAGGGGGAUAACGACGGGAAACUGUCGCUAAUACCGCGUAGUAUCGGAAGAUGAAAGUGCGGGACCUUAGGGCCGCAUGCCAUAGGAUGAGCCCAAGUGGGAUUAGGUAGUUGGUAGGG
Molecule: ribosomal RNA, 246 nt
Filed under: uncultured bacterium
Lineage: Bacteria
Description: partial 16S ribosomal RNA
Rfam family: Bacterial small subunit ribosomal RNA
Source: RNAcentral